This 64-nucleotide transfer RNA is filed under the name Cryptotriton xucaneborum (Sierra de Xucaneb hidden salamander). RNAcentral's name for it is "Cryptotriton sp. MVZ Herp 263575 tRNA-Ile". Lineage: Eukaryota; Metazoa; Chordata; Amphibia; Caudata; Plethodontidae. The record is from RNAcentral.
GAUGUGUGCCCGAAACUCAGGGCUUACCUUGAUGGGGUAAAAUAUAGGGCUUCAACCCCCUCAC